RNAcentral lists this ribosomal RNA (384 nucleotides) under uncultured bacterium. RNAcentral's name for it is "bacterial SSU rRNA". It matches the Rfam family "Archaeal small subunit ribosomal RNA", at positions 340 to 726 of the family's 1478-position model. The record is from RNAcentral.
CGCGAAAACUCCGCAAUACGCGAAGGCGUGACGGGGCUAUCCCGAGUGCCGUCCGCUGAGGAUGGCUUUUCCCCAGUGUAGAUAGCUGGGGGAAUAAGGAGAGGGCAAGUCUGGUGUCAGCCGCCGCGGUAAUACCAGCUCUCCGAGUGGUGGGGACGUUUAUUGGGCCUGAAGCAUCCGUAGCCAGCUGAGCAAGUCCCCAGUUAAAUCCAGCGAUUUAAUCGUUGGACUGCUGGGGAUACUGUCCGGCUAGGGGGUGGGAGAGGCCGACGGUAUUCCCGGGGUAGGGGUGAAAUCCUAUAAUCCCGGGAGGACCACCAGUGGCGAAGGCUGUUGGCUAGAACAUGCCCGACGGUGAGGGAUGAAAGCUGGGGGAGCGAACCG